GAUGAAGAACGCAGCGAAAUGCGAUACGUAAUGUGAAUUGCAGAAUUCAGUGAAUCAUCGAAUCUUUGAACGCAUAUUGCGCUCUCUGGUAUUCCGGAGAGCAUGCUUGUUUGAGUAUCAGUAAACACCUCAACUUCCAUAUCUUUUUUGAAAUGGGAGUUGGACUUGAGUGAUCCCAACGCUUUUCCUCACCGAAAAGUGGCGGGUUACUUGAAAUGCAGGUGCAGCUGGACUUUUCUCUGAGCUAUAAGCAUAUCUAUUUAGUUUGCCUAAAAACAGAUUAUUACCUUUGCUGCAGCUAACAUAAAGGAGAUUAGUUCUUGUGCUGACUGAUGCAGGAUUCACAAAGACAGGCUUCGGCCGACUUUGUAAACUCGAUCUCAAAUCAAGUAAGACUACCCGCUGAACUUAAGCAUAUCAAUAAGCGGAGGA
RNAcentral lists this unclassified non-coding RNA (432 nucleotides) under soil metagenome. RNAcentral's name for it is "partial contains 5.8S ribosomal RNA, internal transcribed spacer 2, and large subunit ribosomal RNA". The stretch from base 1 to 120 matches the Rfam family "5.8S ribosomal RNA", at positions 35 to 154 of the family's 154-position model. The record is from RNAcentral.